This 456-nucleotide ribosomal RNA is filed under the name uncultured bacterium. Its description in RNAcentral is "bacterial SSU rRNA". It matches the Rfam family "Bacterial small subunit ribosomal RNA", at positions 923 to 1379 of the family's 1533-position model. The record is from RNAcentral.
GCACAAGCGGUGGAGCAUGUGGAUUAAUUCGAUGCAACGCGAAGAACCUUACCUGGGUUUGACAUGCACAGGACGCCGGUAGAGAUAUCGGUUCCCUUGUGGCCUGUGUGCAGGUGGUGCAUGGCUGUCGUCAGCUCGUGUCGUGAGAUGUUGGGUUAAGUCCCGCAACGAGCGCAACCCUUGUCUCAUGUUGCCAGCGCGUUAUGGCGGGGACUCGUGAGAGACUGCUGGGGUCAACUCGGAGGAAGGUGGGGAUGACGUCAAGUCAUCAUGCCCCUUAUGUCCAGGGCUUCACACAUGCUACAAUGGCCGGUACAAAGGGCUGCGAUGCCGUGAGGCUUAGCGAAUCCUUGAAAGCCGGUCUCAGUUCGGAUCGGGGUCUGCAACUCGACCCCGUGAAGUCGGAGUCGCUAGUAAUCGCAGAUCAGCAACGCUGCGGUGAAUACGUUCCCGGGC